RNAcentral lists this ribosomal RNA (1423 nucleotides) under metagenome. RNAcentral describes it as "bacterial SSU rRNA". It matches the Rfam family "Bacterial small subunit ribosomal RNA". The record is from RNAcentral.
GGAUGAACGCUGGCGGCGUGUCUAAGGCAUGCAAGUCGAACGCUCCGAUUUAUCGGAGAGUGGCAAACGGGAGAGUAACACAUUGGUAACCUACCCCUGACUCGGGUAUAACUUCACGAAAGUGGAGCUAAUCCCCGAUGGUCUCUGCUAAUAUAAAUUAGUAGAGUAAAACCCCGGUGGUCAGGGAGGGGCCUAUGGCCUAUCAGCUUGUUGGUAAGGUAAAAGCUUACCAAGGCAACGACGGGUAGCGGGUGUGAGAGCAUGACCCGUCUCAUUGGGACUGAGACACUGCCCAAACUCCUACGGGAGGCUGCAGUCAAGAAUCUUGCGCAAUGGACGAAAGUCUGACGCAGCGACGCCGCGUGAUUGAAGAAGCCCUUCGGGGUGUAAAGAUCUUUUACCAAGGACGAAUUUUUGACGGUACUUGGUGAAUAAGGGGCUGCUAAACUCGUGCCAGCAGCAGCGGUAAUACGAGUGCCCCAAGCGUUAUCCGGAUUUAUUGGGCGUAAAGCGUCUGUAGGCGUCUUGAAAAGUUUUUCGUUAAAUCUUAGUGCUCAACACUAAAACCGCGAAAAAAACUUUCAGGAUAGAGGCCGGAAGAGGCAGAUGGAAUUGCCGGUGUAGGGGUCAAAUCCGUUAAUAUCGGCAAGAACACCAAAUGCGAAGGCUUUCUGCUAGAACGGUUCUGACGCUGAGAGACGAAAGCGUGGGUAGCGAAUGGGAUUAGAUACCCCAGUAGUCCACGCCGUAAACGAUGGAUGCUUGACAUUGGCAGUAUCGACCCUGUCAGUGUCGUUCAAUCAAGCUAACGCCUUAAGCAUCCCGCCUGGGGAGUACGGCCGCAAGGCUAAAACUCAAAGGAAUUGACGGGGACCCGCACAAGCGGUGGAGCAUGCGGUUCAAUUCAUAUUAAGCGAGGAACCUUACCAAGGCUUGACAUCUAGCUGCAAAUCCCGGGAAACCGGGACUCCUUCGAGGGUGCUAGACAGGUGCUGCAUGGUUGUCGUCAGCUCGUGCCGUGAGGUGUACCGUUAAGUCGGGUAACGAGCGCAACCCCUACUCUGUGUUAAAUCAUUCACAGGGAACUAUCUCGGAUAACGAGGAGGAAGGUGGGGACGACGUCAAAUCAGCAUGGCUCUUACGCCUUGGGCGACACGCGUGCUACAAUGGUCAGUACAAUGGGUAGCUAAGCGGUAACGUGGAGCCAAUCUCAUCAAAACUGAUCUAAGUUCGGAUUGAGGUCUGCAACUCGACCUCAUGAAGCUGGAAUCGCUAGUAACCGCGUAUCAGCCAUGGCGCGGUGAAUACGUUCUCGGGUCUUGUACACACCGCCCGUCACAUCAAGAGAGUCUUCAGUGCCCAAAUGCUGUUGUAUAAUGGCAAAAGGUAAGGGAGAUGAUAAGGAUGAAGUCGUAACAAGGCA